Molecule: transfer RNA, 76 nt
Filed under: Gammaproteobacteria bacterium
Lineage: Bacteria; Pseudomonadati; Pseudomonadota; Gammaproteobacteria
Description: tRNA-Thr
Rfam family: tRNA
About the family: Transfer RNA (tRNA) molecules are approximately 80 nucleotides in length. Their secondary structure includes four short double-helical elements and three loops (D, anti-codon, and T loops).
Source: RNAcentral
GCCGGUGUAGCUCAGCUGGCAGAGCAACUGAUUCGUAAUCAGUAGGUCGGAGGUUCAAAUCCUCUCACCGGCACCA